CCUACGGGAGGCAGCAGUGGGGAAUCUUCCGCAAUGGGCGAAAGCCUGACGGAGCAACGCCGCGUGAGUGAAGAAGGUCUUCGGAUCGUAAAGCUCUGUUGUCGGGGACGAAAGAGUAGACGAGGAAAUGCGUCUACUAAGACGGUACCUGACGAGGAAGCCACGGCUAACUACGUGCCAGCAGCCGCGGUAAUACGUAGGCGGCAAGCGUUGUCCGGAAUUAUUGGGCGUAAAGGGAGCGCAGGUGGGACGGUAAGUCCGUCUUAAAAGGCAGGGGCUCAGCCCCUGUAAGGGAUGGAAACUAUCGAUCUUGAGUGCCGGAGAGGAAAGCGGAAUUCCCAGUGUAGCGGUGAAAUGCGUAGAUAUUGGGAAGAACACCAGUGGCGAAGGCGGCUUUCUGGACGGCAACUGACACUGAGGCUCGAAAGCCAGGGGAGCGAACGGGAUUAGAUACCCCAGUAGUC
Molecule: ribosomal RNA, 464 nt
Filed under: uncultured Schwartzia sp.
Lineage: Bacteria; Bacillati; Bacillota; Negativicutes; Selenomonadales; Selenomonadaceae
Description: bacterial SSU rRNA
Rfam family: Bacterial small subunit ribosomal RNA
Source: RNAcentral